RNAcentral lists this transfer RNA (70 nucleotides) under Caudoviricetes sp. Its description in RNAcentral is "tRNA-Met". It matches the Rfam family "tRNA". Rfam says of the family: Transfer RNA (tRNA) molecules are approximately 80 nucleotides in length. The record is from RNAcentral. Lineage: Duplodnaviria; Heunggongvirae; Uroviricota; Caudoviricetes.
GGAUGGAGAAGUGGUUAUCUCGCUUGCCUCAUAAGCAAGAGAACGCUGGUUCAAUCCCAGCUCCGAGCCA